CCUACGGGAGGCAGCAGUAGGGAAUAUUGCUCAAUGGGGGAAACCCUGACGCAGCAACGCCGCGUGAAGGAUGAAGGUUUUCGGAUUGUAAACUCCUUUUGUUAGAGAAGAUAAUGACGGUAUCUAACGAAUAAGCACCGGCUAAAUUCGUGCCAGCAGCCGCGGUAAUACGGAGGGGGCAAGCGUUAUUCGGAUUCACUGGGCGUAAAGGGCGCGUAGGCGGGAUAGCAAGUCAGAUGUGAAAUCCAAUGGCUUAACCAUAGAACUGCAUUUGAUACUGUUAUUCUUGAGUAUGGGAGAGGUAGGCGGAAUUCUUGGUGUAGCGGUGAAAUGCGUAGAGAUCAAGAGGAACACUCAUUGCGAAGGCGGCCUGCUAGACCGUAACUGACGCUGAUGCGCGAAAGCGUGGGGAGCAAACAGGAUUAGAUACCCGAGUAGUC
RNAcentral lists this ribosomal RNA (440 nucleotides) under uncultured bacterium. Its description in RNAcentral is "partial 16S ribosomal RNA". It matches the Rfam family "Bacterial small subunit ribosomal RNA", at positions 338 to 795 of the family's 1533-position model. The record is from RNAcentral.